AAACCAACAGGGAUUGCCUCAGUAACGGCGAGUGAAGCGGCAAAAGCUCAAAUUUGGAAUCGCAUGUAUUUGCGAGUUGUAAUUUGAAGACAUAUUCUGAGGUAAGCACAUGUCGAAGUUCCUUGGAACAGGACGUCACAGAGGGUGAGAAUCCCGUGCGAUGUGUUCACUGCCUUGUGUAGAAUAUAGUCGAAGAGUCGAGUUGUUUGGGAAUGCAGCUCUAAGUGGGUGGUAAAUUCCAUCUAAAGCUAAAUAUUGGCGAGAGACCGAUAGCGAACAAGUACAGUGAUGGAAAGAUGAAAAGAACUUUGAAAAGAGAGUGAAAAAGUACGUGAAAUUGUUGAAAGGGAAGGGCUUGAGAUCAGACUCGGGUAACCGGGCCAGCAUGGGGUGGGGGAGUAGGAUAACCCUGCAGGAAUGUGGCUCUGCUUCGGUGGAGUGUUAUAGCCUGUAGAUAUACUGCUACCCUCGCCCGAGGACUGCGGAAACAAGGAUGCUGGCAUAAUGAUCUUAAGCCGC
RNAcentral lists this ribosomal RNA (519 nucleotides) under Hyphopichia fennica. RNAcentral describes it as "eukaryotic LSU rRNA". It matches the Rfam family "Eukaryotic large subunit ribosomal RNA", at positions 62 to 648 of the family's 3401-position model. Lineage: Eukaryota; Fungi; Ascomycota; Pichiomycetes; Serinales; Debaryomycetaceae. The record is from RNAcentral.